UACGUAGGUGGCAAGCGUUGUCCGGAGUUACUGGGCGUAAAGCGUACGCAGGCGGUCCAAUCAGUCUGUAGGGACAGGGCACAGCUUAACUGUGUCAGGCUUAUGGAAACUGUUGGACUUGAGGGCUUCAGAGAGAUGGGGAAUUCCGGGUGGAGUGGUGAAAUGCGUAGAGAUCCGGAAGAACACCAAAGGCGUAGGCACCAUCCUGGGGAGUCACUGACGCUCAUGUACGAAAGCUAGGGGAGCGAACGGG
RNAcentral lists this ribosomal RNA (253 nucleotides) under uncultured bacterium. RNAcentral describes it as "partial 16S ribosomal RNA". It matches the Rfam family "Bacterial small subunit ribosomal RNA", at positions 524 to 776 of the family's 1533-position model. The record is from RNAcentral.